GUAGGUGGCAAGCGUUGUCCGGAAUUAUUGGGCGUAAAGCGCGCGCAGGCGGUCCUUUAAGUCUGAUGUGAAAGCCCACGGCUCAACCGUGGAGGGUCAUUGGAAACUGGGGGACUUGAGUACAGAAGAGGAAAGCGGAAUUCCAAGUGUAGCGGUGAAAUGCGUAGAGAUUUGGAGGAACACCAGUGGCGAAGGCGGCUUUCUGGUCUGUAACUGACGCUGAGGCGCGAAAGCGUGGGGAGCAAACAGGAUUAGAUACCCUGGUAGUCCACGCCGUAAACGAUGAGUGCUAAGUGUUAGGGGGUUUCCCGCCCCCUUAGUGCUGCAGCUAACGCAUUAAGCACUCCGCCUGGGGAGUACGGCUGCAAGGCUG
RNAcentral lists this ribosomal RNA (373 nucleotides) under uncultured organism. RNAcentral's name for it is "partial 16S ribosomal RNA". It matches the Rfam family "Bacterial small subunit ribosomal RNA", at positions 527 to 896 of the family's 1533-position model. The record is from RNAcentral.